AACAAACGCUGGCGGCGUGCCUAAUACAUGCAAGUCGAACGGGGAAAGUAGCAAUAUGAGUACUAGUGGCGCACGGGUGAGCAACGCGUGGGUAAUCUGCCUUAGAGUGGGGGAUAACCAGUCGAAAGAUUGGCUAAUACCGCAUAAGACCACAGGAUCUGCGGAUCUAGGGGUAAAAGGUUUUUCGCUCUAAGAUGAGCCCGCGUGAGAUUAGCUAGUUGGUAGGGUAACGGCCUACCAAGGCGACGAUCUCUAGCUGGUCUGAGAGGAUGAUCAGCCACACUGGAACUGAGACACGGUCCAGACUCCUACGGGAGGCAGCAGUAGGGAAUAUUGCACAAUGGAGGAAACUCUGAUGCAGCGACGCCGCGUGAGUGAUGAAGGACUUCGGUUCGUAAAGCUCUGUCGUACGGGAAUAAGAAAGUGAAUGUACCGUGCAAGAAAGGAUCGGCUAACUUCGUGCCAGCCGCCGCGGUAA
RNAcentral lists this ribosomal RNA (478 nucleotides) under uncultured bacterium. RNAcentral describes it as "partial 16S ribosomal RNA". It matches the Rfam family "Bacterial small subunit ribosomal RNA", at positions 29 to 523 of the family's 1533-position model. The record is from RNAcentral.